CAUCGCCUCUUGCUCCAAAAAUAUAAGAGGUCCCGCCUGCCCUGUGACUAUAAGUUUAACGGCCGCGGUAUUUUAACCGUGCGAAGGUAGCGUAAUCACUUGUCUUUUAAAUGAAGACCUGUAUGAAUGGCAUCACGAGGGCUUAGCUGUCUCCCAUCUCCAGUCAAUGAAAUUGACCUCCCCGUGCAGAGGCGGGGAUAAUUACAUAAGACGAGAAGACCCUAUGGAGCUUUAGACCUAAAGUAAGUCACGUUUAACAUGCUAAAAUAACAGAAAAAACUUAGUGAUAUUUACUGAAGUGUCUUUGGUUGGGGCGACCGCGGGGUAAAACACAACCCCCAUGUGGACCGGGGAUAUUAUCCCUAAUACUCAGAGCCUCUACUCCAAGUAACAGAAAUUCUGACUUUUCUGAUCCGGUAUAACCGAUCAACGAACCGAGUUACCCUAGGGAUAACAGCGCAAUCCCCUCUCAGAGCCCAUAUCGACGAGGGGGUUUACGACCUCGAUGUUGGAUCAGGACAUCCUAAUGGUGCAGCCGCUAUUAAGGGUUCGUUUGUUCAACGAUUAAAGUCCUACG
RNAcentral lists this ribosomal RNA (577 nucleotides) under Gadus chalcogrammus (walleye pollock). RNAcentral's name for it is "partial 16S ribosomal RNA". It matches the Rfam family "Bacterial large subunit ribosomal RNA", at positions 1814 to 2600 of the family's 2925-position model. Lineage: Eukaryota; Metazoa; Chordata; Actinopteri; Gadiformes; Gadidae. The record is from RNAcentral.